Molecule: ribosomal RNA, 465 nt
Filed under: Vreelandella stevensii
Lineage: Bacteria; Pseudomonadati; Pseudomonadota; Gammaproteobacteria; Oceanospirillales; Halomonadaceae
Description: partial 16S ribosomal RNA
Rfam family: Bacterial small subunit ribosomal RNA
Source: RNAcentral
CCUACGGGUGGCAGCAGUGGGGAAUAUUGGACAAUGGGCGAAAGCCUGAUCCAGCCAUGCCGCGUGUGUGAAGAAGGCCUUCGGGUUGUAAAGCACUUUCGGUGGGGAAGAAAGCCUUGGGGCUAAUACCCUCGAGGAAGGACAUCACCCACAGAAGAAGCACCGGCUAACUCCGUGCCAGCAGCCGCGGUAAUACGGAGGGUGCGAGCGUUAAUCGGAAUUACUGGGCGUAAAGCGCGCGUAGGCGGUCUGAUAAGCCGGUUGUGAAAGCCCCGGGCUCAACCUGGGAACGGCAUCCGGAACUGUCAGGCUAGAGUGCAGGAGAGGAAGGUAGAAUUCCCGGUGUAGCGGUGAAAUGCGUAGAGAUCGGGAGGAAUACCAGUGGCGAAGGCGGCCUUCUGGACUGACACUGACGCUGAGGUGCGAAAGCGUGGGUAGCAAACAGGAUUAGAUACCCCGGUAGUC